Molecule: ribosomal RNA, 383 nt
Filed under: uncultured bacterium
Lineage: Bacteria
Description: bacterial SSU rRNA
Rfam family: Bacterial small subunit ribosomal RNA
Source: RNAcentral
AGUAAAUAGAUACCCCGGUAGUCCACGCCGUAAACGAUGAGUACUAGGUGUAGGAGGUAUCGACUCCUUCUGUGCCGCAGUUAAACACAAUAAGUACUCCGCCUGGGAAGUACGGUCGCAAGAUUAAAACUCAAAGGAAUUGACGGGGGCCCGGCACAAGCAGCGGAGCAUGUGGUUUAAAUUACGAAGCAACGCGAAGAACCUUACCUAGACUUGACAUCUCCUGAAUAGUGUAGAGAUACAUGAAGCUCUUCGGGGUCGAGGAAGACAGGUGGUGCAUGGUUGUCGUCAGCUCGUGUCGUGAGAUGUUGGGUUAAGUCCCGCAACGAGCGCAACCCUUAUUACUAGUUGCUACCAUUAAGUUGAGCACUCUAGUGAGACUG